This 250-nucleotide ribosomal RNA is filed under the name uncultured bacterium. Its description in RNAcentral is "partial 16S ribosomal RNA". It matches the Rfam family "Bacterial small subunit ribosomal RNA", at positions 524 to 772 of the family's 1533-position model. The record is from RNAcentral.
UACGGAGGGUGCAAGCGUUAAUCGGAAUUACUGGGCGUAAAGGGUGCGUAGGUGGUUGAUUAAGUUAGGUGUAAAAUUCCUGGGCUUAACCUGGGCUUGAGACUUAAUACUGGUUGACUAAGAGUAUGGGAGAGGGUAGUGGAAUUUCCGGUGUAGCGGUGAAAUGCGUAGAGAUCGGAAGGAACACCAGUGGCGAAGGCGGCUACCUGGCCUAAUACUGACACUGAAGCACGAAAGCGUGGGGAGCAAA